RNAcentral lists this ribosomal RNA (993 nucleotides) under Bacillus sp. 0913CV7GTS2. Its description in RNAcentral is "bacterial SSU rRNA". It matches the Rfam family "Bacterial small subunit ribosomal RNA", at positions 56 to 1026 of the family's 1533-position model. Lineage: Bacteria; Bacillati; Bacillota; Bacilli; Caryophanales; Bacillaceae. The record is from RNAcentral.
UGCAAGUCGUGCGGACAUGAUCGCAGAGCUUGCUCCCUGAUGUUAGCGGCGGACGGGUGAGUAACACGUGGGUAACCUGCCUGUAAGACUGGGAUAACUCCGGGAAACCGGGGCUAAUACCGGAUGGUUGUUUGAACCGCAUGGUUCAGACAUAAAAGGUGGCUUCGGCUACCACUUACAGAUGGACCCGCGGCGCAUUAGCUAGUUGGUGAGGUAACGGCUCACCAAGGCGACGAUGCGUAGCCGACCUGAGAGGGUGAUCGGCCACACUGGGACUGAGACACGGCCCAGACUCCUACGGGAGGCAGCAGUAGGGAAUCUUCCGCAAUGGACGAAAGUCUGACGGAGCAACGCCGCGUGAGUGAUGAAGGUUUUCGGAUCGUAAAGCUCUGUUGUUAGGGAAGAACAAGUGCCGUUCAAAUAGGGCGGCACCUUGACGGUACCUAACCAGAAAGCCACGGCUAACUACGUGCCAGCAGCCGCGGUAAUACGUAGGUGGCAAGCGUUGUCCGGAAUUAUUGGGCGUAAAGGGCUCGCAGGCGGUUUCUUAAGUCUGAUGUGAAAGCCCCCGGCUCAACCGGGGAGGGUCAUUGGAAACUGGGGAACUUGAGUGCAGAAGAGGAGAGUGGAAUUCCACGUGUAGCGGUGAAAUGCGUAGAGAUGUGGAGGAACACCAGUGGCGAAGGCGACUCUCUGGUCUGUAACUGACGCUGAGGAGCGAAAGCGUGGGGAGCGAACAGGAUUAGAUACCCUGGUAGUCCACGCCGUAAACGAUGAGUGCUAAGUGUUAGGGGGUUUCCGCCCCUUAGUGCUGCAGCUAACGCAUUAAGCACUCCGCCUGGGGAGUACGGUCGCAAGACUGAAACUCAAAGGAAUUGACGGGGGCCCGCACAAGCGGUGGAGCAUGUGGUUUAAAUUCGAAGCAACGCGAAGAACCUUACCAGGUCUUGACAUCCUCUGACAAUCCUAGAGAUAGGACGUCCCCUUCGGGGG